This 253-nucleotide ribosomal RNA is filed under the name uncultured bacterium. RNAcentral's name for it is "partial 16S ribosomal RNA". It matches the Rfam family "Bacterial small subunit ribosomal RNA", at positions 524 to 776 of the family's 1533-position model. The record is from RNAcentral.
UACGGGGGGGGCAAGCGUUGUUCGGAAUUACUGGGCGUAAAGGGCGCGUAGGCGGGUGGACAAGUCUCUCGUGAAAGCCCACGGCUCAACCGUGGAAUUGCGGGAGAUACUGUCUGUCUCGAGUCCGGGAGAGGAGGGUGGAAUUCCCAGUGUAGCGGUGAAAUGCGUAGAGAUUGGGAGGAACACCGGUGGCGAAGGCGGCUCUCUGGACCGGUACUGACGAUGAGGCGCGAAAGCUAGGGGAGCAAACGGG